CCUACGGGAGGCAGCAGUGGGGAAUAUUGCACAAUGGGGGAAACCCUGAUGCAGCGACGCCGCGUGAAGGAAGAAGUAUCUCGGUAUGUUAACUUCUAUCAGCAGGGAAGAAAAUGACGGUACUUGACGAAGUAUCCCCGGCUAACUACGUGCCAGCAGCCCUGGUAACACGGCGGGGGCAACCGUUAUCCGGAUUUACUGGGCGUAAAGGGAGCGGAGGCGGUGCAGCAAGUCAGUAGGGAAAGCUCGGGGUUCAAAUCCGGGACUGCAUUUGAAACUGCUGAACUAGAUUGCAGGAGAGGUAGGUGGAAUUCGUGGUGUAGCGGUGAAAUGCAUAGAUAUUAGGAGGAACACCGAUGGCGAAGGCAGCUUACUGGACUGUGAAUGACGCUGAGGCUCGAAAGCGUGGGGAGCAAACAGGAUUAGAUACCCCGGUAGUC
This 440-nucleotide ribosomal RNA is filed under the name uncultured bacterium. Its description in RNAcentral is "partial 16S ribosomal RNA". It matches the Rfam family "Bacterial small subunit ribosomal RNA", at positions 338 to 795 of the family's 1533-position model. The record is from RNAcentral.